ACGGAAGGCAGCAGUGGGGAAUAUUGGGCAAUGGGCGCAAGCCUGACCCAGCGACGCCGCGUGAGUGAAGAAGUAUUUCGGUAUGUAAAGCUCUAUCAGCAGGGAAGAUAAUGACGGUACCUGACUAAGAAGCCCCGGCUAACUACGUGCCAGCAGCCGCGGUAAUACGUAGGGGGCAAGCGUUAUCCGGAUUUACUGGGUGUAAAGGGAGCGUAGACGGUAAUGCAAGUCAGAAGUGAAAGCCCAGGGCUCAACCUUGGGACUGCUUUUGAAACUGUAAUACUAGAGUGCAGGAGAGGUAAGUGGAAUUCCUAGUGUAGCGGUGAAAUGCGUAGAUAUUAGGAGGAACACCAGUGGCGAAGGCGGCUUACUGGACUGUAACUGACGUUGAGGCUCGAAAGCGUGGGGAGCAAACAGGAUUAGAUACCCUGGUA
This 434-nucleotide ribosomal RNA is filed under the name uncultured Anaerosporobacter sp. Its description in RNAcentral is "partial 16S ribosomal RNA". It matches the Rfam family "Bacterial small subunit ribosomal RNA", at positions 341 to 792 of the family's 1533-position model. Lineage: Bacteria; Bacillati; Bacillota; Clostridia; Lachnospirales; Lachnospiraceae. The record is from RNAcentral.